GACGAACGCUGGCGGCGUGCCUAAUACAUGCAAGUAGGACGCACAGUUUAUACCGUAGCUUGCUACACCAUAGACUGUGAGUUGCGAACGGGUGAGUAACGCGUAGGUAACCUGCCUAUUAGAGGGGGAUAACUAUUGGAAACGAUAGCCAAUACCGCACAACAGUAUGUAACACAUGUUAGAUGCGUGAAAGAUGCAAUUGCAUCGCUAGUAGAUGGACCUGCGUUGGAUUAGCUAGUAGGUAGGGUAAAGGCCUAACUAGGCAACGAUACAUGGCCGACCUGAGAGGGGUAUCGGCCACACUGGGACUGAGACACAGCCCAGACUCCUACGUGAGGCAGCAGUAGGGAAUCUUCGGCAAUGGGGGGAACCCUGACCGAGCAACGUCGCGUGAGUGAAGAAGGUUUUCGGAUCGUAAAGCUCUGUUGUUAAGGAAGAACGAGUGUGAGAAUGGAAAGUUCAUGCUGUGACGGUACUUAACCAGAAAGGGACGGCUAACUACGUGCCAGCCGCCGCCGUAA
Molecule: ribosomal RNA, 521 nt
Filed under: uncultured bacterium
Lineage: Bacteria
Description: partial 16S ribosomal RNA
Rfam family: Bacterial small subunit ribosomal RNA
Source: RNAcentral